This is a long non-coding RNA of Malaclemys terrapin pileata, 634 nucleotides long. RefSeq lists it as uncharacterized. The transcript is spliced from 3 exons. Lineage: Eukaryota; Metazoa; Chordata; Testudines; Emydidae. The record is from RefSeq and is a predicted model, not a curated record.
UAUCCCUUUCCUUCUACAUCUGUCUGGCCUGCCACCUUUGCACUCACACAGUCACAAAUCUAGGGGGAAGGUAACUGGAGCUUUGCUUUCUCAGAGUCCUACCCCUAUUAAGUGCCUAAUCCAUGAAAAGUCCACCCAGCAUAAAGGCAUUAAAGACUCGAUCCUGCAAGAUUCUGAGCACACUGGCUUGAUCCAUCAAAGCACUUAAGCACAGAUGAGGAAACUGAGGCAGAGAGCGGACAGGUGGUUUGCCUAAUCUCCUAUCUCCUGUCAUGGAUUAUCAAGACAAGAUGUGAGGUUCACACUCAAAAACAAUAGUUUUAAUCCCCAGGAAGCAAUGGGUUUCAUCUACCAGUAGUAAACUGCUCAUUUAUAGGACAGUAAAAUGUUUGAUGCUAGGAAAGAUACAUUGUUAUAUUUACGUGUUGAUGAAUUUCUGUAGAUCUCCUAUGGUUUGGAAUCUUUCCUCCAUGGACAUCCGAUUGAGGAAAUUUCACCAGCCAUUGUAAUUCUGAACCCAUCACCUUUCCACUCAGUAGUUUACCUCCAAAACAGAGGGAUGCUAUUUCUCUGGCCAGUGAUACUAGUGGUUAAAUAUGGUCAUCCUCACCUUUAUCCAGGACAAACUGGAAUA